AACUCUGGGUGACCUGACCACACCGGGUCUGUGUUCCCAAGUGCCGCCGGAAGCUGACUGCAGCUGCCCCCUGUAGCCAGGGCAUGUGUGGGGACUGCUCUGACAACUGUCCCCCACUCCCGCAGUGCCCAGUGCCCGACACCCUGGGGAGUCACUGCCACCCCGGAGGGGCCACCAAUUCAACAUGUGACAACCCGAAGUGGAGGGAAGCAGAGGAGGAAGAGACGGAGGGGGACACACAGAUGGAAACUGAGCCCAAGAACCAAGAGUGAGCCUGAGGACCACAGCGAGGGACAGCGGGAGAGGGAGGCAGCAGGCAGACGGAGGCGAGGAGCGAUUCCUUGGGCAUCUUAAGUCACUCUCUGGCCCCUGAGCAGCUGUCUCGUUUAGGGAAAAGAGCCUGGGGAGGACAUGAAAAGGGUGAGGCCUGGACACGCUCCUUGGUCAUUUCCCAACACUGACGUCACCAUUCCUAGCCUGCCUAGGUCCUGGGGUGGCCCUCUGUGGGCGGGUGAGCACACACCUUGGCAGGAGGUGACGCAGCUGGACCACGCGUGGGAACUCCCGGCACAGCGGGCGGGCCUGGCUCAGCCCCACCUCCCCUGCCACUGGGUUCCUGGCAACCUCUGGUGGCUUCUUCCUCCUCCUUCUGCCGCCAGGAUGCAGGGGUCCCCACAGGCGAGAGGCUGAACUCAGAGCUGGCCAGGUGAGAAGCGAAGCACCGAACCACUGAAAUCUCCAGGAGACCACACUGGGUGGCAGAUGUGACAGCAACCCUCUGACCUCACGGGGCGCUGCCGUCCCAGCACAACCAGAACAAGGUGUGCCGAUGCCGGGAGCAGUGCAAACGGCCCUGGACGGGGAUGCAGAGGGCUCCGGAUCAGCCUGGGGCUCGCUGUGGGGCCCUGCUGUCAUCCCUUGGAAAUGGGUACACCCCCGGCAUAUUGAGGGGGAGGCACGCAGAGGAACAAACGUGAUAAAUGCAUCCAUGGGCUGCAAAUCGGGGGCCGCUCGGACAGCUGUCCCCCACUCCUGCAGUGCUCGCUGCCUGGCACUGUGAGGAGUCACUGCCACCCCCGAGGGGCCACCAAUUCAACAUGUGACAGGCCGAAGUGGAGGGAAGCAGAGGAGAGAGGAAGACAUAGAGGGAAACUGAACCCAAGACCCAAAAGUGAGCCGGAGGACCACAGCGGGAGAGGGAGGCAGCAGGCAGACGGAAGCGAGGAGACAGGGCGCAGAGGGGCUGCGGGGGGUGCUGGGCACACCUGGCUGAGGAAGGGACCAAAGGCCCAGAGGGUCCCAUAGUCUCAGCCUAGUACCUGUCCCCAAGCCCAGGGGCCCUGAUCACAAGGCAGCAACGUCUAUCCCACAGCUGUGAUAGGUGGGGCACAUCACACCCCGAGGGGCCCCGGCAUCCAUGAUCUCCCCUCCUGGAGGGUGGUCAGCCGCCAUCCUGGCCCCGGACUCCUUGGAAAUGCUCCACAAAGUGCCAGCUGGAAAUGUCACAGCACAGGGGGCCUUGGGAUGAGCCAGCCCCAAGGGGCCAUUCUUUCCUGUGGGUUUGGGGAACUCUUUUAAGAUCUGGAGUGCAGAUUCGGGUUCCAGUGCCUGCUCUGUGUCUUCCUAGCCUUAGUUUCACCUCCUGGGGCCUCAAUUUCUCCAUCAGUAAAAUGGGGACAGUAACCGUCAUAGCACCAGCUCUCAGGCUUCUCAGGGGAGCAGACAGUGAAGCAGUGCACAGAAGUCCUUGGUAAUCCAAGAAGCACCCUCUGGACGGAGCUGCCAGGACAGCCCGCAGCCACCCUGGACUGACCCGUGGGGCUGGGGGCAGCUGGGGAGGCCAAGCGUGUGCACACGGGCACCAGCAGCAGAGCAGACCCCCAGUCUCCUCUCUCAUACCCGAGAUGGGAGAUGAAGACUCCCCUGUGAGUUCCAAACUCCUCCAACCAGUUCUGGCAGGGAAGAAAGGGAGUCCUGGGAAAGCAACUCCCAUGCCUGGGGCUCGGCGGUGACCCACCCAGCCCCUCCCCGGCAGAGGCACUGGUUGCCCUGGAAACUCACCUCGGUGGUGGCCGGUGCUGGCAGAGGUGCCAGCCAAGGUGUCGGGCUUUGGAGAGCGGCACGACGGGCGACGGCCCUUCUCCUGGCGGUCACCACAGAGACACAGGCAAAGAACACAGAGCCCUUCCUCCCCCUGGGCACGGCAGGCCUGGCACAAACCUGGCCUGCUUCCCGGGCCAUGGUGGGGCGAGAGCCAGGUGGGGAGUGGGCCCUGCGGGAGGCCCUCUGCCAGUGUGCUCGUCGCCUGCGUGCCCUAGUGGAGUGGAGCACCCGAGUGCCUGGGCCUGGUGUCACCCGCGUGGCUGUCAUACCUGCUGCUGUGACAGGCAGGACCAGGAAUUCCCGCUUGUACCAGGCCAUGGGCCAGCCGAGGACGAGUGGAGAGGCUGCCCCAAGCUAGCCUAGCUUUCUCCCUUAAUUCUCCAAGUCCCCACUCCCAUUCCCCCUGUGUCGGGGGCCUGGAAACCACCACACAGAGCCAGAAAGGUGACAGAUACAAGUAACCAAAUCAAAACAGGGUUCGGUCAGCAGAGCCACCAGGCGGAUGUGAGUCUAGCCAGAGGCACUGGGAGGCAGGCAGGAGACCCCACUCACUUGUUCUGGAAGGCUUCCCUGCCCCCUAGACCUGAGCUCUUCCAUCCCUGGCACCCAGGCACGAGAUUUCCUUUCUUCUUUUUUUUUUUUUUUUUUUCCCUGAGAUGGAAUCUCGCUCUGUCGCCCAGGCUGGAGUGCAGUGGUGCGACCUCGGCUCACUAUAACCUCUACCUCCCGGUUCAAGUGAUUCUCCUGCCUCAGCCUCCCAGGUAUCUGGGAUUACAGGCACAUGCCACCAUGCUCGGCUAAUUUUUUUUUGAGACAUCGUCUCACUCUGUCACCCAGGCUGGAGUGCAGUGGCAUGGUCUCGGCUCACUGCACCUCUGCCUCCCGGGUUCAAGCGAUUCUCCUGCCUCAGCCUCCUGGGUAGCUGGGACUACAGGCGCAUGCCACCACACCCAGCUAAUUUUUGUAUUUUUAGUAGAGAUGGGGCUUCACUACAUUGGCCAGGCUGGUCUCAAACUCCUGACCUCGUGAUAUGCCUGCCUCAGCCUCCCAAAGUGCUGGGAUUACAGGCAUGAGCCACCACACUCAGCCACUUGGCUAAUUUUUUUGUAUUUUUAUUAGAGAUGGGGUUUUGCCAUGUUGGCCAGGCUGGUUCGAACUCCUGACCUCAGGUGAUCCACCUGCCUUGGCCUCCCAAAGUGGUAAGAUUACAGGUGUGAGCCACCGCACCCGGCCACAAGAUUUCAUUUUAACUGGGCGCAGGGGUGGGGGAUGCCAAUGGUUUGUUUCAUUAAGUAGGGUGGUAAAAAAUAAUAAUAUUACCACCACUACUCCCACCAUUCAGAAAAAACACCACCAAAGGUAACAAGAAAGGGCUGCCAUCAGAAAGAAGGGCAGGCUUGAAAUGAGUACAUUUGGCUUUUAGAAUAAUUUACUAGAGUGACUACUGGAGUUGUAAACAACCACCACCACCACCACAACAAUACAACAACUUACUACCUUGUCCCUGUUUUUCUCAUUUUGCUGCAAACCAGACAUUGGAAGCCAUCAGACGCAUCCAACACACCCGUCUGACAAGUGGAAAGACUGAGCCCCAGAGAGAGCAGGGACUUGCCCAAGAUCUCACAGGAAAAGUGUCUGUCCAGCUGCUCUGCAAAGCUUGCAGACGCUCCUUCCAUCCUGACCUGGGGGCCAGAACACUCAGAGCCCCAACCCCAAAGCCCAGAGAUGCCAGGGCGAAGUCAGAGGCCAAGAGUCUCAGCUACUUCCUUACCUUCCUGGGAACCUGGCCGGGUGGAUGCCCA
Molecule: long non-coding RNA, 3905 nt
Filed under: Homo sapiens (human)
Lineage: Eukaryota; Metazoa; Chordata; Mammalia; Primates; Hominidae
Description: HSALNT0355276
Source: RNAcentral